This 124-nucleotide small RNA is filed under the name Marmota monax (woodchuck). The record is from RNAcentral. Lineage: Eukaryota; Metazoa; Chordata; Mammalia; Rodentia; Sciuridae.
GCCGGUGUGGUGGUGCACGCCUGUAAUCCCAGCAGCUUGGGAGGCUGAGGCAGGAGGAUCACAAGUUCAAAGUCAACCUUAGUAAAACCGAGGCUCUGAGCAACUCAGUGAGACCCUGUCUCUA